This 508-nucleotide ribosomal RNA is filed under the name uncultured bacterium. RNAcentral's name for it is "bacterial SSU rRNA". It matches the Rfam family "Bacterial small subunit ribosomal RNA", at positions 1 to 507 of the family's 1533-position model. The record is from RNAcentral.
UCGUACGACGAGUUUGAUCCUGGCUCAGAUUGAACGCUGGCGGCAGGCCUAACACAUGCAAGUCGAGCGAGAAAGGUCUUCGGACUGAGUACAGCGGCGGACGGGUGAGUAAAGCGUAGGAAUCUACCUGGUAGUGGGGGAUAACUUGGGGAAACUCAAACUAAUACCGCAUACGCCCUACGGGGGAAAGCGGGGACCGUUCGGGCCUCGCGCUAUCAGAUGAGCCUGCGUAGGAUUAGCUAGUUGGUGAGGUAAAGGCUCACCAAGGCGACGAUCCUUAGCUGGUCUGAGAGGAUGAUCAGCCACACUGGGACUGAGACACGGCCCAGACUCCUACGGGAGGCAGCAGUGGGGAAUAUUGCGCAAUGGGCGAAAGCCUGACGCAGCCAUGCCGCGUGUGUGAAGAAGGCCUUAGGGUUGUAAAGCACUUUCAAUUGGGAAGAAACGUUGGUCGUUAAUAGCGGCCAGCCCUGACAUUACCUUUAGAAGAAGGACCGCUAACUCCGUG